GCUGCUAUAGUGUAGACCGGCCAAUCAUGUAGGACUCUCACUCCUACGACUGGGGUUCGAAUCCCCAUAGCAGCA
Methanoculleus bourgensis is the source of this 75-nucleotide transfer RNA. It matches the Rfam family "tRNA". From Rfam's summary of the family: Transfer RNA (tRNA) molecules are approximately 80 nucleotides in length. Their secondary structure includes four short double-helical elements and three loops (D, anti-codon, and T loops). The record is from Rfam. NCBI's taxonomy places the organism in Archaea, Methanobacteriati, Methanobacteriota, Methanomicrobia, Methanomicrobiales, Methanomicrobiaceae.